RNAcentral lists this long non-coding RNA (3640 nucleotides) under Salmo salar (Atlantic salmon). RNAcentral describes it as "lncRNA (ENSSSAG00000093911.1)". Lineage: Eukaryota; Metazoa; Chordata; Actinopteri; Salmoniformes; Salmonidae. The record is from RNAcentral.
UGACAGUUGACAGAGUGUUUUUGCUGUGGUUGUGUGUUUGGUAUUCAAAUAGAUCCCUUUUUGAUGAGUAAGAGAGAGCCCCACCCCUUUAAGAACAGGGCUAAACUCCUAUGUGCAUAUACUUAGUUGAGCAGGUUGCAAAGCAGCAAGUCGAUCUCCAACUUGCUCCCACUAAUAGCUGGAAUACUACAGACAAAUUGUAAACACACUACUUUCACAGCAGGGGUGUGCUAUUGCUGCUUUUACUUGCCAUAGGAGUUGGCACAAGUCACACACACACACACAGACACACACACACACAUAUACACCCACGCACGCACGCACACCCACGCACGCACACACACAGACAAACAGUUUCUUCUGCAGGUUUGAACUGCGAUCAAGAUGGGCAAUGAGCAUUCCAAAAACAAGGCUGAGCAGGCUCCAGAAAAGCCCCUGCAUGGAGGUUUGAAUGGCCAUGCUGUAAGCAUCUCAUCCAAUGGCCUGGAGAAUGUUACCAGUGAAGCAGCUGUGGAGCAGAACAGUAUGCCUACCUCACUGCCUCCCUCUGAAGAGUCAGGUAUAGUGGAGGCAGAUGGCAGUGGUCUUGGGCCUGUGGUGGUGGAACAGAAGUCUGCCGUCAAGAAGGUUCCAGAAGUGGAACCAGAGACACAGAAUGCUAAGACUCAAAACACAGCGGAACCGGAACUGGAACCAGCCACCCAAGAGAAGGAGGAGCCCAAGAACAGUACACAAGAAAAAGUGAACAUCUUUGAAAAUCUGUUCAAGAAGAAAGCUAAGCCUCAACCCACCCCCAACCCGGAUCCAGCCCUGGAAAAGGAGGAGCCCAUAAGGGAGAAGAUUGUGGAGGAGAUUGAAAGUUCUGCGGAAGAUCAGAAAGUCCCUGUGGCUGUGACCGAUGGGAUCCAAGCUGAGCCACUUGCUGAGGUAAAGGAGGAUACAGAGACUUCAAAGGAGCGUCCCAACCCUAGUCCAGAGGCAGAGGAGGUCAAAAGCCCCAAAAUUGCAGAGGAAAGCAGUCACAUUCAGGAAAACCAAGAGGGAGAGAGUCAAACAGAAGAUAAUCCAGUUAUGAACUUCUUCAAAACACUAGUGACUCCCAUAAAAAAAAACAAGCAAGAAACAGCCACCCCUGAUGUUGCAAAAGACCAGAAAGAGGCCCAACCAACAACAACUACUGCUGCACAACUAGUGGAUGCAACAGCCAAAGGAGGAAUGUUAAUCCCACCAGCUGCAGCCCCAGCCCCAGCCCCGGCCCCAGCCCCGGCCGCAGCCCCGGCCGCAGCCCCUGCCCCACCCGCAGCCGCAGCCCCAGCCCCAGCCCCACCUAAGAUGGAGGUUAAAGCAGAACUAGCUGCCCAACCUGUGACCAACGCACCAAAAGAAGAACCAAAGGGUGCUGCCAAAGAAGCAGAGGCCGCCAAGCCGAAAUCUGACCGCCCGUUCAGCAGACUUUUCAGCAGAAAGAAUGUAGACUUCUCAAAGACGGCCACUCUGGAGGCCUCUGCCACUCUAGAACCACCACCACCUGCACCAGAGGACGAGAAGACACCUGCUGCCUCCAAAGCCUCUCCUUUCACUUCCUUUUCUCUUUUCAAGACCAUGGCAGCUGUGCCGAAAAAGGAAGUCCCUGCCCCAGCUGCAGAAGCGGUAGCUGGCCCAAGUGUAGCCAAGGAUGAACCAAAGGCCCCAGAGGACCCUGCUGUGGACAGCAAGCCCGUGUCAGGGCCCUCCGAGGUUAUGGAGAAUUCCCCCGUCCUCCCUAAGAGACUGGAGAAGAGGAACUCCAUCCACUUGUUCUUCAAAAACCUGGGCAAACGCCAGUCAGAUGCAGGAGUACAAACAGAACCAGAGAAGACCAAAUAAAACGGAAACACCCUUUCAAACUUCACAUGCCAUAUCUGGAAAUGAACUUUUCAUUUGUUAGAUACAUUAUGUUUCUGAUCACACUAUUGAAGGGAUGAUGGUAAGAGCAAGUGGUUUGAGGGAGAGGGGUGGACUGUGGACUGGUCUGUUCUAGUCUAAUCUAAUCUGUGUGGAUGAUUUCAGAGAAUUGUUCUUUGUGGAGGAGGUAAAAUAUAUUUUCUGGUUUAAAGGCUUGAUAGGUAGAGAAAAGUGGUUUUGUUACAUGUACUGAGAGCAAAAUCCAUUUCUAUACAGUAUUUACCCUUCUUUUAACAUGUCACUUAUUCCACGGAGGGCUGAGUGUCUGCGGGUUUUUGCUCCUCCCUUGAUUGAUUAAUUAAGGUCACUAAUUAGUAAAGAACUCCCCUCACCUGGUUGUCUAAGUCUAAAAACAAAACACCCACAGACACUAAGCCCUUCAUGGAAUGUGUUUGACACCACUGCUUUAACAUAUUAAUAUGUGUAAGGAUCUAAUGCAAAUAUUACGUUUAGCAUAUUUUUUUCCCCUCUUCAUAUACACAUUUUACUAGUCUGAAAAGAACUUGUGGAGUGCAUACAAUGGUUUCAGAUACGUUCAUAGGACGUCUUGGAGAAGAGAUGCAUAAAGCUUAGCUUGAGAUAGAAAUUGAAUAUACUCAAAAUUUAAUGGAGGAGUUGGCGAAAUGGUUGAUAUUCCUGCCAAGAUGUUUUUAUUUAGGCUAGACACAUGCAAUUUACAAUGUAAGCUUUAAACUUUGCAGGAACUGUACACGGAUGCAAAUAUAUGCCAAACACUAAAUUACAAUUUAUGAUUAUAAUCAUACACAGGGGGCGCUCCCAAUCAUUACUUUUUUGGGGAACUACACAGAUCUGGUUGUCUAUAUAGCUAACUGCACAGUCAUGCAUCAUAUUUGAUUAAUGUUUCACUGAAGUAUAAAGGUUUGUUCUAAUUUGGGUGCACUGCUUUACGUGUGUGCCUGUUUGAAUGCAGAUGUUAUAAUCUUGGGGAUCUUGUCUGUUAAUUUCUGCAUCUAUAAUUUGAUAAACUGCAUCUGGAAGUAGAAUGUUUAUUGUGACAGCAAAUUCCAAAUCAUGAAAACCUGCAAUGGGGUAUUGGGGGGGGGGGGGAGUUCUACUGAGCUAACAUAUGGAAUUUUUUUAAGAUCAUACCAUGGAUCCUUUAGCUAUUUAAUUUUUCAUUUAGGUAAAAUAUUGAAUUUGGCUUUUAAUGCUAUAGCCUAUAGAAAUGCAAUGAAUAACACAUUCAUAAAUGGCAAAACGGAGAGUACAAAAAGAAAUAAUAUAUAACGUUUUUGAAGUGUCUGUCCUACAUCUAGGAGAUGUAAUAAUGUUCAGGAUUUACACAUAUUUAACCCAUUUUUUGGGGGUGUCACAAAACUACUUCUAUAUAUUUUUUAUUAUGUUAAUUAAAUUGACGCACGGGUGCGUUGAUGGACUUUAGGGGGUAUUUAAAGCUAUUUUCCUGUAACUGUUUAAAGAGAAUAAAUGUGUACAAUUAUUUGUUUUCUUGUUUUCUAUCUCACAAUUUAGGCCAAAAGUUAUCAGUAUAGGGAAAUAUGAAAACAUAUUUAGAGUGAAAUUAAAUGUCCCUGUAAUAUAGUGAUUUAAUGUUAUCAAACAGUACUAUCAAGUGCUGCAAUAACUGAAAAAGACAUGACCCAACAAGUUUAUCAACACAUCUUGUAUUCCCAAAGUAGGGAGCCAAGCUGUUUUCAGCUAUGUUAGAAGUAUGGAG